This 468-nucleotide ribosomal RNA is filed under the name uncultured bacterium. RNAcentral's name for it is "partial 16S ribosomal RNA". It matches the Rfam family "Bacterial small subunit ribosomal RNA", at positions 28 to 507 of the family's 1533-position model. The record is from RNAcentral.
GACGAACGCUGGCGGCGUGCUUAACACAUGCAAGUCGAACGGAAAGGCCCUGCUUUUGUGGGGUGCUCGAGUGGCGAACGGGUGAGUAACACGUGAGUAACCUGCCCUUGACUUUGGGAUAACUUCAGGAAACUGGGGCUAAUACCGGAUAGGAGCUCCUGCUGCAUGGUGGGGGUUGGAAAGUUUCGGCGGUUGGGGAUGGACUCGCGGCUGAUCAGCUUGUUGGUGGGGUAGUGGCUUACCAAGGCUUUGACGGGUAGCCGGCCUGAGCGGGUGACCGGCCACAUUGGGACUGAGAUACGGCCCAGACUCCGACGGGAGGCAGCAGUGGGGAAUAUUGCACAAUGGGCGGAAGCCUGAGGCAGCAACGCCGCGUGCGGGAUGACGGCCUUCGGGUUGUAAACCGCUUUCGCCUGUAACGAAGCGUGAGUGACGGUAAUGGGUAAAGAAGCACCGGCUAACUACGUG